CCAGCUCAUUAAGGAGAUUAACCUGCGCUUUUGAACUCCGUGCGAUUGGAACGAGACAUAAUUGACGCCUGCUCGUUUUGGUUUGUGGAAAGAAAGAAGGAAAAGAAGAGGGGGGGAGAAAAAAGGAUUCGGCGCCAAAAUGACAAGUUGCAAGCCUGUUAGCUGAAAGAUAGCUCCCCACAUCAUUGUAGCCUGGAGCACUGGGAGUGCAGAGAAAAAGAAUGUGCUGUUUCCAUGAGCACUGCAACCUGCUGCCAUACUGAGACUGCAAGGGAGAAAAUGCAUUAGAAAGCAUAGAUAAGAGGGCUGCUGGGUAACUCAUUCGGUCAUGCCCCUGUGCUGCGGUGUAUGGAUGAGCCCGACACAGUGAAAUGUCCAGUGUUAAUUCAACACUUAACAGUGUUAAUUCAAAACUGUACCAGAUAAUGACUCUGGUCAGCGUGGGACCAAAUGUUAUCUGUUAGAGUUGCAUUAACACUGGACGUUUUACUGUGCACAGUCUCGGUUCGAAUCCAGCUGGAAUUGUUCAAAUGCUGGAUUGUGCCUCCAUAGGGCGACGGGCAACUGCUGAUCGCAUUGGCCGGUAUUUGGAGGGUUCCAUUAGAUAGGGGUAAGCAUAGAUAAAUAUUUCUUUCCAAAUAAUGUAUAUUAGGUUGAGUAAGAUUAUAUUUGUAUUUAGCUGUGAUGUUUACUGUCAAGAGAAAGGUUUGCUGAAACACUGAAUAAUGCUUGAUUUACCAGAGUUUUAUUGCUAAUUUCUUUUGUUAGAUUUUAUUUUAAAGAAUCUUUAGGGGUGCCAAUAAAAUUGACACCUGUGUUUUUGAGACCUGUGCAAUGUUGACCCCAGUAUGUUUGAGUGUGUCUUAACAGAGAGCAGUUACCAUGGGUCCAUAAUAGAUCAGGUGGGCUGCGGGCUGGGGUUUCUUAUGAAAGGAGUGCAUGAUGGGAGGUCUUACUCUUAUUAAUCUGUGGAGUGUGACAAGCUCAGAUCUCAAUCCGCCGCGUAAUAAUUGACCUUUAGCUGGCUUUAAUGCCGUGAUGAAAACAGCAACGGGGGGUCCUCAGUGUGAGUCCACCUGAGUGGGGACAAAGAGAACGGGCCUGGCGGGCUCGCCUGUAACCAGUCCAAUUAAACACCUCGCUGUGGCACUCUCAUCAUUUGAAAUAAAAACCCUGCCUUUGAA
Anguilla anguilla (European eel) is the source of this 1184-nucleotide long non-coding RNA. RefSeq lists it as uncharacterized. The record is from RefSeq and is a predicted model, not a curated record. Lineage: Eukaryota; Metazoa; Chordata; Actinopteri; Anguilliformes; Anguillidae. The transcript has 2 exons.